GCACAGUCAAGGGCUGGCUGGAGAAACCACCGUAGCUGCCAGCCCCACAGGGGAGGACAGGGGAGAUGUUCCAGUCACAGGCCUGUGGGCCACGCAGGCGAGACCCUCAAGCUGCGUCAGAGCAAACCGCCAGCAGGUGCUUCUUCUGCCUGAGCUCCUGGAGUCAGCAUGCAAAGCAGCCAGCUGUGUCUCUGGUGACAAGUGACUAUUCUCAAGCUCUUUGGAGCGUAGAGUCAUCCACGCAGAAAGCUCAGACCACGGUUGAGUGCAGGUAAAGUGAAAUGCCGAGUGCCCAGCAAUAGCUCAAAGGGCCAGAUGAAGGACGCAAAGGAAGGACCACAGGAUCUGCAGUUUCCCCGGAGAGAGGAGGAGGCCAGCGUGCCGGAGGAAGCUUCACAGCUCCAGAGCCCGUCGAUGGCAACACAACUUCUUGUCAUCCUUCCAGAGAGAGCAGACACUUGUGGCAGCAACUUGUCUCCUGCGCCUUGCUCUUCCUACUCUGUCCCAGAAAAGGAACUGCUGAGGGCCUCUUCAAGGUUGGACGUAUCUGUGAGUCCCAUUAUUUGAUUCCACCUGGGACUCCUCCUGAGCCAUGUCCACUCCAGCUCCAGCCAUCCCAUCAAAGUGAAACAAAGGAAAACGUUCCAAACAAAAGAAUAAAAUAAAAUCCCAGAGAAGAAAACCCUAAUGACAUGGAGGUAAGUAAUCUACCUGAUAAAAAGUUCAAAGAAAUGUUCAUCAGAACCAUCAAAAAGCGCAGGAAAGAAUGCAGGGAUUCAGUGAGAACUUCACCAAAGACUUCAAAAACAUAAGAAAGAAC
RNAcentral lists this long non-coding RNA (820 nucleotides) under Capra hircus (goat). RNAcentral describes it as "lncRNA (ENSCHIG00000004683.1)". The record is from RNAcentral. Lineage: Eukaryota; Metazoa; Chordata; Mammalia; Artiodactyla; Bovidae.